Molecule: unclassified non-coding RNA, 212 nt
Filed under: Hevea brasiliensis (rubber tree)
Lineage: Eukaryota; Viridiplantae; Streptophyta; Magnoliopsida; Malpighiales; Euphorbiaceae
Source: RNAcentral
GAGAGAAAGAUCUAGAGAGAGAGAGAAAGACAGAUCUGAGACAGAGAGGAGAUGGUGGUGGCCGAGCCUGAUCAAUCCCUCGGAGCUGAUCAGGUGAAGCCGGGGGAGAAUUUCAGCAGCGACAAAAAGAGGAAGCAGCACGGGAAGAGCAAGAAGAAGAGAAGCGGCAAAGAGGGCAAGACGAUGAAGAGCUAUCGUCUGGUUCAUUUCAA